RNAcentral lists this long non-coding RNA (599 nucleotides) under Homo sapiens (human). RNAcentral describes it as "HSALNT0406828". The record is from RNAcentral. Lineage: Eukaryota; Metazoa; Chordata; Mammalia; Primates; Hominidae.
ACACAUGCAAGCACACGCCACAAGACAUGCACACACGGACACAUGCAGGACACAGAUACACUGACAGGUACACACAUGGACACACAGAUACAGCAAGACAGGCACACACACACACACGGACACAGAUACAGUGACAGGCACACGCGCACAGAGACAGACAUGCACAGAUGGGCACACUCACGCACGGACACACAGUGAUACACCAACAGGCACACACAGACGCAGACAUGCACAGAUGGGCACACACACAUGGACAUACAGAUAUAGCGACAGGCACACACAGACGCAGACAUGCACAGCAACAGGCACACACAGACGCAGACAUGCACAGAUGGGCACAGACAGACACGCACGGACACACAGAUACACCAACAGACAGGCACGCACACAGACGCAGACAUGCACAGCUGGACACACACACACACGGACAUACAGAUACACCAACAGACAGGCACACGCACAUAAACAUAGACAUGCACAGAUGGACACGCAGACACACAUGGACAUACAGAUACAGCGACAGGCACACACACACGGAUGCAGACAUGCACAGAUGGGCACACGCACGGACACACAGAGAUACCCCAACAGGCACACAG